CAUCCUUCUUGGCCUUUUGGCUAAGGUCAAGUGUAGUAUCCAUUCUUCUCAGUUUAACAUCUGACACAUACCUGGAGAUGAAGCUCUCUCCUCCCCUGGCUAGACUGUAAGGUCCUUGAAGGCUAGAACUAUUUCACUUUUGUCUUUGUAUUGUCAGUGUCUAACACAAUGCCAGGCACAUAGGCGCUUAAUAAAUGUUUGUUGGUUGACUAAUUGAUUAAUAUUUCCACUUUG
RNAcentral lists this small nuclear RNA (234 nucleotides) under Vombatus ursinus (common wombat). RNAcentral describes it as "U2 spliceosomal RNA (ENSVURG00010007329.1)". The stretch from base 1 to 170 matches the Rfam family "U2 spliceosomal RNA". Rfam says of the family: U2 is a small nuclear RNA (snRNA) component of the spliceosome (involved in pre-mRNA splicing). Complementary binding between U2 snRNA (in an area lying towards the 5' end but 3' to hairpin I) and the branchpoint sequence (BPS) of the intron results the bulging out of an unpaired adenosine, on the BPS, which initiates a nucleophilic attack at the intronic 5' splice site, thus starting the first of two transesterification reactions that mediate splicing. The record is from RNAcentral. Lineage: Eukaryota; Metazoa; Chordata; Mammalia; Diprotodontia; Vombatidae.